AUCCUCUUCAGGGACAUCUGAUAAAAUUGGAAUGAUACAGAAAAGAUUUGCAUGGCCCCUGCUCAAGGAUGCACACACAAAUCAAGAAAUGAUUUUUU
Small nuclear RNA from Benincasa hispida (wax gourd), 98 nucleotides. The record is from RefSeq and is a predicted model, not a curated record. Lineage: Eukaryota; Viridiplantae; Streptophyta; Magnoliopsida; Cucurbitales; Cucurbitaceae.